RNAcentral lists this transfer RNA (89 nucleotides) under Talaromyces islandicus. Its description in RNAcentral is "Penicillium islandicum tRNA". It matches the Rfam family "tRNA". From Rfam's summary of the family: Transfer RNA (tRNA) molecules are approximately 80 nucleotides in length. Their secondary structure includes four short double-helical elements and three loops (D, anti-codon, and T loops). Further hydrogen bonds mediate the characteristic L-shaped molecular structure. tRNAs have two regions of fundamental functional importance: the anti-codon, which is responsible for specific mRNA codon recognition, and the 3' end, to which the tRNAs corresponding amino acid is attached (by aminoacyl-tRNA synthetases). tRNAs cope with the degeneracy of the genetic code in two manners: having more than one tRNA (with a specific anti-codon) for a particular amino acid; and 'wobble' base-pairing, i.e. permitting non-standard base-pairing at the 3rd anti-codon position. The record is from Rfam by way of RNAcentral. Lineage: Eukaryota; Fungi; Ascomycota; Eurotiomycetes; Eurotiales; Trichocomaceae.
AACCUAGUGGCGUAACGGUAGCGCGUCUCUUUCCUAUAUAUCUACAUAUGCAUAGGAGAAGGUUGUAGGUUCGAUUCCUACCUUGGUUA